RNAcentral lists this ribosomal RNA (239 nucleotides) under uncultured bacterium. Its description in RNAcentral is "partial 16S ribosomal RNA". It matches the Rfam family "Bacterial small subunit ribosomal RNA", at positions 118 to 353 of the family's 1533-position model. The record is from RNAcentral.
UGGGUAACCUGCCUUAUAGUGGGGGAUAGCCUUUCGAAAGGAAGAUUAAUACCGCAUAAGAUUGUAGUAUCGCAUGAUAUAGCAAUUAAAGGAGCAAUCCGCUAUAAGAUGGACCCGCGUCGCAUUAGCUAGUUGGUGAGGUAAUGGCUCACCAAGGCGACGAUGCGUAGCCGACCUGAGAGGGUGAUCGGCCACAUUGGGACUGAGACACGGCCCAGACUCCUACGGGAGGCAGCAUG